Molecule: long non-coding RNA, 2584 nt
Filed under: Lathyrus oleraceus (garden pea)
Lineage: Eukaryota; Viridiplantae; Streptophyta; Magnoliopsida; Fabales; Fabaceae
Description: Pisum sativum (pea) long non-coding RNA (PSAT_LNC034318)
Source: RNAcentral
AAGAUUCAAAUUCAUUCUAGUUCAAGAUCAUUUUAAAAUUCAAUUUUGAGGGAAAGGGUAUUUUUUUUAGAAUGCAAGUCACAUUUCCAUUCAAAGGCCGAUUUCAUUACAAAACCUUCAAACAUUUCAUCACAAAAGGUUCAAAAUUAAAAUCACAUAAUUUUACAUCAUUUGACGUAGAGUUGACUUUUGGUCAACUACUAACUUUUUGGUCAAAUAGUUGACCAAAGUUAACUACCUAUCCUAAACCCUAUCAUACUUAUUCUUCAUUCACAAGCCAUCCAUAUAAAGCCUUCAAGUUCUUCACAAUUUUUUCAUAUGCCAUAUACUUCUUCAUGAUUCACACCUUGAAUCCAUGUCAUGCCUUGUUCCAUGCCUUGCCAUUUGAUAACCCUUGUCGAAUUCCUCAUCAUCAUUGCCUUAUCUCAAACCUAGCAAUCCGUCUUGUAACAAUAGGAAGUAUUAACAUCAUUCAUAUACUCAAAAACAUGUUUCAUUAUAAUGCAUAUUCAUGUUGGUACUAGUAAGUUAAGGCUACCUACAAAUUAUGUAACAUACAUGUCAAGUACAAUACACCAACAUACAGAUUCAUGCAUAGCCAUACAAAAACCAAGAAUCAAGCCAUCUAUAAACCAAAACUUGGCAAUACUCAUUAUGUAAUCCAUACCAUGGUGACACCUACACAUAGCUGCAUUCAAAAUAACCUAACCAAUUUACUUUGACAUAACUUUUGAAAAUAACUCUAACACAAACAUUCCAUAACAAGUCUUGUACCAAUCAAACCAAUCAAGUAGCAUAACAAUCAAGUAUUAACACAACAGAGUCAAGUUAGACCAACAUCACGAAUUGCAUUAACAUUACACAUUGACAUUUCACACAUAGUUCAAGUACAAUUCAGGAAUUUAACUAAGUCUUAGUUGUUGAAGCCACAAGCGAGUAUGACUAACUGAGUCCAUUUUGGUUUGGCAGCUGCAUUAACCUAAACCAUAGACAACAAAGUAGUCAACUCAUACUUGAUUCUAUAACCUUUCAACAUAAUCAGUUGGCACAAUCACUAACAUUUCAUCCUAACCAAAUUAACACUCCAGCAGUUUAGGUUAACAACUAGUUGGUUGUUAAUUAGAUAGCUCCUCAUAAAUAUUUCACAAUGGCUCGAUUUGACUACUAGCUAUCACAAACUCCAACUGUAUCUUUUCUAAACAAUUAACAAUCAUGUUACUUCUAACUAAUAAACCUAAGUUUAACCCUUUGCUAACAGUACAAUUCAUUAUCAUCAAUUACAUUUGUCAACUAUUCUAACUACACAAAUAAACUAACUUCCAACUCAACUAACAAUCUAAAUUCCAUAAAUCUUUAAACUAAUCUUCAAUUCAAUUCUCAAUCUGUCAAAUAAGACUAACUAUUAACACCAUUCUACAACACCAUUUUAACAGUCACUUAUUAACUAAUCUUUAUUUUUUACUCCUAACAAUGCAACAAUUAUAGCCAAAUAAGCUAACAUAAAUAAUCUAACUUCAAGUCUAUUUCUUUAACAUUUUCCCUCCCAAUUCAUAUCAAGGAAUAAUAGCUUCAAUUUCGAAUGUAGAAGAGCAAAGUUAUUAAAAAACUAACUAAUUUUCACAUCAAGCUAACUCUAACAAUUCCCAACAUAACUAAUUUCACUUAACAAACUCACUAACUUCCAAUUCAACCUAACUGUCAACUUCAUUCAACUCAUCUAACAACACAACUCUAACAUAAUACUUCACUAACACCCAUGGCAUAGUCUAAACUAAAUUUCACUUAAUAAACUAACAAACUUCGUAUUCAAGCAAAUUCUAUCCACCUCUAUAGAGAGUUAACAAAGUUACAAACUCAUGACCACUUUUCUCUUGAAUCUAACUAACUGUAAUGAUUGCCAUAACACCUCUAAUAACCACUGCCCAAACGGACCUAAACAAUUACAAUAAUUCACUCUAUAUAAUCAUAAUUCAUCUUCAGUUUCAGGGGACAACAAUUAUUUUCUGUAUAUCCUUCUCUUUACAUCACUCUCCAAUUUAUCCCUCACACCAAAAGCUCAAUUUUGCCAUUGCUGGAGCAAGCUUAACAUUGAAGCUUGCCACCACAAAGCUUAGCCCCUACGUUAUGUUCUACACUCUUUACACAUACACAUUAUCAACAACAACAAAAUGAUCCUAAUUCCUAUAGACUAAGAAUAAGAAGAGAAAAUUGUUACAAAAGAAGUAAAAGGCUCGAAACAAGUACCUGAUACCUUUGGUAUUCUUUUUUCUCCAACUUCAACGUCUUCACCUUCAACAAGUUCCAAGGAAAAUCUUCGCCUUGGAGGUAAGUCCUCCAAAUUCCAUCUUUUUGAUUCAAACUCUCUACCAAUAUGUAGUGUAUAGGUCUCUGAACCAAAACCCUAAGGUUUGAGUUCAAAUUAAUGCUCCGCCUCCAUUUAAUUUCAUUUUCUUUGGCUUAGGGUUCUUAGGAUGUUAUUUCUAUUUGGAAAAUCUGAUUGAGUUUAGAAAGAAUUGAUGCUAGAAUUGAGGAAAGGAGGUUGAGAGGGUUACUAUGGUGGUACUAAUGAUUGUUUUGGCUCAUC